CUUAUUUGGAAUAUCUGUCCAGUUCAAAAAUGGCUCCAGUGGUUAGAGACGGAUGAUGGCACGGCAGAAUGGCUUUAUGGAAACUUCAAGCAUAUGACAGCUUAAUUUUCUUCCACAAGGCUGUGAGACCAGUUUGCAGGUGAUGCUAAAGUUAUCAGAUCUACAACACCAGUUGACAUACAGCCAACACUUAGUGUCUAGUUCAUUGUCAAAAGAAAUGUUUGUGCCUCUUUUGUUACAACAGCUGGCUUAUUUGGAAUAUCUGUCCAGUUAAAAAAUGGCUCCAGUGGUUAGAGACGGAUGAUGGCAUGGCAGAAUGGCUUUAUGGAAACUUCAAGCAUAUGACAGCUUAAUUUUCUUCCACAAGGCUGUGAGACCAGUUUGCAGCCUUAGGUCAUGCUCCCCAUCAUAUGUCCCAUGCAAGCCCAACCCAGAAAAUGCACAGCUAACAUUCACGGUGAUGCUAAAGUUAUCAGAUCUACAGCACCAGUUGACAUACAGCCAACACUUAGUGUCUAGUUACUUGUCAAAAGAAAUGUUUGUGCCUCUUUUGUUACAACAGAUCUAGCAAUGUGAAGCGAGGGGCCAUAAUGUAUAAAGAGAGAUCUUCACCUCCAACUGCGUCUGCUGAAGAAAUGCUUCUGUCCAAUCACUAGACUACUGGCAAAUGAGAGAAGGUGUAGAAUGUUGACAAAAACCUCACAUCCAGGCUGCAAGUUGGUUAUCCGGUCAAGCUGCUGUUUGCUGCAUGAAAAGGACACAUCUGCUGCUCAAGAUCUGCUACACAAGAUGAGAUUUCGCUGGGACCACAUUCAAGUAUGGCAAGGAUUCAACCAGAUUCAUCAGUCCUCAGACGUGUUUAGAACGCCACAUUGGUAUAUGAUAUGUGUUUUAACAGCUGGAGUCCGUGUGUUUUGCGUAAAAGCUGCUCUCACAACUCGUGUACCCAUGGAAAGGGAUUGUCCUUGGCGUUCCUGUUUGAACUAUAAACCUGGCUAUUUAAUAAAAUGCUGAUUAUCUGUUCUAUUAAUAAAGCUGUGACUGAUCUUA
Bombina bombina (fire-bellied toad) is the source of this 1050-nucleotide long non-coding RNA. RefSeq lists it as uncharacterized. The record is from RefSeq and is a predicted model, not a curated record. The transcript has 8 exons. NCBI's taxonomy places the organism in Eukaryota, Metazoa, Chordata, Amphibia, Anura, Bombinatoridae.